GUCUAUGGCCAUAAAAACGUGCCUAACCUUGUCUGAUCUUGGAAGCUAAGGAGAGUUGGGCCUGCUUAGCACUUGGUUGGAAGACUAACUAGAACUAAGAGGUGCUGUAGUUU
Molecule: ribosomal RNA, 113 nt
Filed under: Cebus imitator (Panamanian white-faced capuchin)
Lineage: Eukaryota; Metazoa; Chordata; Mammalia; Primates; Cebidae
Source: RNAcentral